Molecule: ribosomal RNA, 374 nt
Filed under: uncultured prokaryote
Description: bacterial SSU rRNA
Rfam family: Bacterial small subunit ribosomal RNA
Source: RNAcentral
UACAUAGGGUGCAAGCGUUGUCCGGAAUUAUUGGGCGUAAAGAGCUCGUAGGUGGUUAGAUACGUCGGAUGUGAAAAUCAGGGGCUCAACCCCUGACCUGCAUUCGAUACGGUCUAGCUAGAGUGUGGUAGGGGAGACUGGAAUUCCUGGUGUAGCGGUGGAAUGCGCAGAUAUCAGGAGGAACACCGAUGGCGAAGGCAGGUCUCUGGGCCAUUACUGACACUGAGGAGCGAAAGCGUGGGGAGCGAACAGGAUUAGAUCCCCUGGUAGUCCACGCCGUAAACGGUGGGCGCUAGUUGUGCGAACCUUCCACGGUUUGUGCGACGCAGCUAACGCAUUAAGCGCCCCGCCUGGGGAGUACGAUCGCAAGAUUA